AUACACGCUGGCGGCGUGCCUAAUCCAUGCAAGUCGAGCGAACAGACGAGGAGCUUGCUCCUCUGACGUUAGCGGCGGACGGGUGAGUAACACGUGGAUAACCUACCUAUAAGACUGGGAUAACUUCGGGAAACCGGAGCUAAUACCGGAUAAUAUAUUGCACCGCAUGGUUCAAUAGUGAAAGACGGUUUUGCUGUCACUUAUAGAUGGAUCCGCGCCGCAUUAGCUAGUUGGUAAGGUAACGGCUUACCAAGGCAACGAUGCGUAGCCGACCUGAGAGGGUGAUCGGCCACACUGGAACUGAGACACGGUCCAGACUCCUACGGGAGGCAGCAGUAGGGAAUCUUCCGCAAUGGGCGAAAGCCUGACGGAGCAACGCCGCGUGAGUGAUGAAGGUCUUCGGAUCGUAAAACUCUGUUAUUAGGGAAGAACAAAUGUGUAAGUAACUAUGCACGUCUUGACGGUACCUAAUCAGAAAGCCACGGCUAACUACGUG
Molecule: ribosomal RNA, 496 nt
Filed under: uncultured bacterium
Lineage: Bacteria
Description: partial 16S ribosomal RNA
Rfam family: Bacterial small subunit ribosomal RNA
Source: RNAcentral